UCAGGACGAACGCUGGCGGCGUGCCUAAUACAUGCAAGUCGAACGGUCUUUCUAUGGAAGCUUGCUUCCACUGAGAGGAUAGUGGCGAACGGGUGAGUAACACGUGGGUAACCUGCCCAUAAGAGGGGGAUAACAUCCGGAAACGGGUGCUAAUACCGCAUAGUUUUCUUGAUCGCAUGAUCGGGAAAGGAAAGACGGCCUUUGUGCUGUCGCUUAUGGAUGGACCCGCGGCGUAUUAGUUAGUUGGUGAGGUAACGGCUCACCAAGACGAUGAUACGUAGCCGACCUGAGAGGGUGAUCGGCCACAUUGGGACUGAGACACGGCCCAAACUCCUACGGGAGGCAGCAGUAGGGAAUCUUCCGCAAUGGACGAAAGUCUGACGGAGCAACGCCGCGUGAGUGAAGAAAAGGUUUUCGGAUCGUAAAACUCUGUUGUCAGAGAAGAACAAGUUGGAGAGUAACUGCUCCAGCCUUGACGGUAUCUGACCAGAAAGCCACGGCUAACUACGUGCCAGCAGCCGC
This 522-nucleotide ribosomal RNA is filed under the name uncultured bacterium. RNAcentral describes it as "bacterial SSU rRNA". It matches the Rfam family "Bacterial small subunit ribosomal RNA", at positions 24 to 518 of the family's 1533-position model. The record is from RNAcentral.